AUAAGGAUAGUUAAAAUGAUAAUACCGAACUUGCACUUCGGAGUUGAGGCUUAGCCUCUCUUUAUA
Molecule: transfer RNA, 66 nt
Filed under: Amphiura digitula
Lineage: Eukaryota; Metazoa; Echinodermata; Ophiuroidea; Amphilepidida; Amphiuridae
Description: tRNA-Ala
Rfam family: tRNA
About the family: Transfer RNA (tRNA) molecules are approximately 80 nucleotides in length. Their secondary structure includes four short double-helical elements and three loops (D, anti-codon, and T loops). Further hydrogen bonds mediate the characteristic L-shaped molecular structure. tRNAs have two regions of fundamental functional importance: the anti-codon, which is responsible for specific mRNA codon recognition, and the 3' end, to which the tRNAs corresponding amino acid is attached (by aminoacyl-tRNA synthetases). tRNAs cope with the degeneracy of the genetic code in two manners: having more than one tRNA (with a specific anti-codon) for a particular amino acid; and 'wobble' base-pairing, i.e. permitting non-standard base-pairing at the 3rd anti-codon position.
Source: RNAcentral